GAUGCCUCGUGCCCACAGCAGAUCGUUCUCCGCCGCCAACCAGCCCUUCGCACACCCGAUCCACCCCUUCGCCCCCGCCGGACAUCCAUCCCUGUGCCGCGGCCGAUCCUAUCCUUCGCCGUCGCCCUCGCACAUCACAGCCGCCGCCCGUCCAUCGUACGAUCUGCUUCAGGAUCGCUUCACGAGACGGCGCCGCGAUCCCGUUUAGGAGACGCCGGCGAUCACGCCCAGGAUCCGACGGCGAUCCCCUUCUGGACAGGCACAUCCUCUCGAACGCACAACUUGCAUUCGUCCCUGCGCUACUUUCGUCCCUUCGUCGCCGCCCUCCCAUCGAUCUGCCGCCGAUCCCUGCGGAGCUUCCCUCCCCAAUCCGAUCUGACGGAGAGAGUGCCAGAUCCGGCCGGGGGAGCCGCCGUAGAGCCUCCACGUCGGUGGAGCAGCACCUCCUGCCACGGGUGCCGCCGCCACCUCCUGCCUCACGACCCUUUGCCGCGACUCCGCCCCCAAGCGCCGCUCCCGCACGCAACCCUAACCCUAUCCCGCCAUGCCUCGCUACCUCGCCGCUUGAGCCGCGCUGAUGGAGCCCGAGCAGCGGUGGUCGACCCCGUCGCCGCCGCCGAGCCUGUGGAUGAGGAGAAGGAAAAGGAGGAGGAGACGGAGGCGGCCGAGGACUAGGAGGACACGCUGCUGGACCGCGCGCAGCCUGAUCUCACGGGUCCCUUUGCACAUGUGCAGUUCGUCAAUGGACCAAUGCCUAAUCUCCCCAAGGUUGAUGUUUCACUGGACCCGGUGAAGGAGUUGAGCAGAGUAAUAUCUGAGCGAAAAAAUUGAGGGGCGUGCUUUGGUUGUGCUCUCAGCCAGGUUAUUUUACGAGGGUUGUGUGCACUGAACCCCAUUUCUCUGGACCAAGGGACGAUGAACAAGAUGGGAAUGAGGAGGAUGCGACCUAUAGAUGGUUGCUAUGGAUCAGGAGGUUAACUAAUACAUGCAUCAGCUUUGUAUCAUAAAGAUUUCACCAUCCCAAGGUAAUGGAAAUAAGUUCACAAGAUUCUCAUGUUGAGGUCUGUACAAAGAGAUACAAGGCAAUGUCUGUGUGCUGGAACGAGAAACUCACUGCCAAAGCUAUAAUCCCUGAUGCUAAAGCCUGCAUGUUCAGAUCUGCUGAGUUUACUCAUAUUAAUAAUGAUUAAUACAGAGGGAGCCCUUUUGUCAGGUCAUUUAAUCAUUUAAUCAUAGGUACAUUAUCUCAGAGGGAGUAUUUCAUUUUCUACCUGAACCAAGUUGUUAUUUCAUUUCUAAGAGGCAAAGAGUUCCUCCUGGUUAGUUUGCCACAUUUUAUAUGUCUAUCUAUGUGCAUUACUAAUUCACUAUAUGCACCUUUAGUUCCCAGUUUUGGCUCACUUUCUUGAUGCAUCUUGGAUGAGAGGAAAGGAAUGGAUAAUCUGACAAGCAAUGUUCGGGCAUACCCUUAUAUUUACGUCUGAUGAAAUGCUGCGGGUGCAAAAUAAUCAAGACUGCUGCCAUGAGCAAAAGAGCAGACAUUACUUAUGAGAAAACAAUAAAAGAAUCUUCCGUGACUACAUACCACGACGAGUCAAAGACAAUGAAAGCACUACUCCAUUGGUGGUGUUAGCAAGUGGAGUCUGGAGGGAGAACAACACAAAGUAGGAAAUUGAUUCCCUCGCCCUCGCUUGCUUCAACGACCCUGCCCGUCUUGGUGGGGUCGAUUCCCCCAUCGCCCGACUCAUCUCCGACGAGUAUGGCGUCAGUGGGUACGCCCCGCCAUUCGUAUGCUUGGCGGGUCCCAGAACACCCGUGACGUGUAUGAGCUUGACUAGGGCGAGGGGCUCGUGCUCGUGCUCGAGCUCGACAAGACGCACUUCGAUCUCGUCACCAACUACGAGCUGGACUGUGAGACUCCAGAGCAGGCGGGGGUGACGAAGACGAAAGUGGGGGCAGUUCGAGCUUGUCGCUGCCGGAGACCCUGGAGAGGUGCGCGAAGAGACCUGGUUAGAUUUGUUGGCCACCACUGGUAAACUGCACUAAUAACAAAUCGGAUGUCAUCUCUCAUGUUGCGGAUUCAACCCUGGACGAUGUUGCGUGGCCUGCGGCCAUGGACGAUGUGCUGUUGGACAACGACACAAGGCCGAGGC
RNAcentral lists this ribosomal RNA (2153 nucleotides) under Triticum aestivum (bread wheat). Its description in RNAcentral is "partial small subunit ribosomal RNA". The record is from RNAcentral. Lineage: Eukaryota; Viridiplantae; Streptophyta; Magnoliopsida; Poales; Poaceae.